AACAGUGCGCAUGUCGCGGGGGGGAUGUGCGCUUGCGCGUUAAAGGAUGUGACGGCCUUUGCCUGUAGAAGAGGGAAAAAGAGAAGAAAGAAUGUGUGAGAGUGGUCGUGAUUGUGUGUACACGAGAGAAUGAUGCAUGUUUAUGAGAAGUUAGAUUUCAACACACUUGAAGGCAAUGUGAACUCAGGAGGGAGCAAACCCAUGUUGGCCGCCGCCCAUGCUUCAGUCACAGAGGAAGCUAUAUGACGGCUGACGGUGAAGCGGUCUCUUCCCUGGCUGGAACUAGGAGAGCUGACAGCUGUCAAACCAGGAGUAGCAUUUUGAUUAUGGUGCUGAGGGUAGAGGGGUUGGGUUCCUCCCCCGGUGCAAGACUAGGAUAUCCCAUAAUAGGUCUUCACCGAGUUCUGUCCCUGCUCUGAUGCAGCGAGGGACCUGGGACCUUCCAGAUGUUGUUACACUACAACUGCUAUCAACCCCACCUAGCAUAUCCAGUCAAUAUCUGGAGGUCACCAGGUUCUCCCCUGCCUUUUGGUCACCCUCUGGGGUUCAUUGUCAAUCUCUUUUUGAGAUAACUUCUGUUUUAUAUUCUUGCCUGAAUUGGAAUACAAUCCUUAGUGGUUAUGUUUACAGAGGCUUAUAUCAUGUUGCUUUACAGAAGAAUUGCAAAGUUAUUUUCAUAAAUGAUAUCUGCAGCAGCAACAUAGUUUAUAUGCAUUGUAACCUGAAUCCACGCACAAAGAGAAGCUCUCCAAAUAGGUGCCACUGAUGAAGACUUGAAUCAAGUCGAAACGGUGCCAAAGUAACUUAACCUGCCUUGGGUACUGUGCACCUUGACUUUGUGGAGGAGAAGCACACCAUUUGCUGUUCCACCUCUUAUCUGGCAAUAGAAAUGUCUUCGGCUGGCCCUGACUUUAAUCAUGAUACAUCAGACUUUCUACCAAGUCAUCUUGCCAAUAAAUGUUUGUUCAAGUCCUGCUUGUGGGCUUCUUCACUGUCCAACCUCUCUUCUAUCUCCCUGUCUCCUCUUCUUCCUCCUCUUCUUUCUCUUUCCUUUCUUCCUCUCCUCUUUCCCACCCCCUUUCUUUAUUGAUGUCAUUAUAUUUAUUUAUUUUCAAAUUGUAUUGAAAUUGUCUUUUUUCAAUGUUGGACAUCAUGUCCCCUUAUUUCAUGGAUUUGAAAACCUUUACAAUAAACAAUUUGUUUAUUUAAAAAGAA
Molecule: long non-coding RNA, 1215 nt
Organism: Rhineura floridana
Lineage: Eukaryota; Metazoa; Chordata; Lepidosauria; Squamata; Rhineuridae
Exons: 3
Source: RefSeq, a predicted model, not a curated record